RNAcentral lists this ribosomal RNA (253 nucleotides) under uncultured bacterium. RNAcentral's name for it is "partial 16S ribosomal RNA". It matches the Rfam family "Bacterial small subunit ribosomal RNA", at positions 524 to 776 of the family's 1533-position model. The record is from RNAcentral.
UACGGGGGGGGCAAGCGUUGUUCGGAAUUACUGGGCGUAAAGGGCUCGUAGGCGGCCAACUAAGUCAGACGUGAAAUCCCUCGGCUUAACCGGGGAACUGCGUCUGAUACUGGAUGGCUUGAGGUUGGGAGAGGGAUGCGGAAUUCCAGGUGUAGCGGUGAAAUGCGUAGAUAUCUGGAGGAACACCGGUGGCGAAGGCGGCGCUCUGGACCGAGACUGACGCUGAGGCGCGAAAGCGUGGGGAGCAAACAGG